Molecule: long non-coding RNA, 2610 nt
Organism: Malania oleifera
Lineage: Eukaryota; Viridiplantae; Streptophyta; Magnoliopsida; Santalales; Ximeniaceae
Exons: 2
Source: RefSeq, a predicted model, not a curated record
ACCAUUUUAAGGUCUUGGUCAAGACCAGAGCCGUGUGGCGCCUUCUGAAUGGGUGGAUUCAUGAGACACAGAUCGCGAACGUGGCGCGAUCUGGUCCGUUGAAAAGAAACACAUAACGGAUGGUUGUGGGAAGGCCGCGUCGGCCUAAACGCGAGUGGAGGACGUAGCUCCACGUGUCGACGGGCGACUGGAUGAGGUGGCAAGCAUAUUUAAACCCAAAAAAAAAAAUUUCUUCUCAUUUUCAACUUCUUUCUUACACUCUCUCUCUCUCUCUCAAACCCGAAGCCUCAUCCCUUUCAUUCGUCCCUCUCUGCGAAUCGCCCCCCCGAGAAUCCUUCUUAUAUUCUGCAACCAAAGCCUUAACGUUGGAUCUGCUUUGGAGGAGAACUUUUGAAGCUUCAAUUGGGUUUGCAUCUUUGUCACCGACAAUCUACGUCGAGCGAUUUGCUCCAAAGAACUCACCGUCGGCUUCAGCUCCUCGCUACCUACCCAGCGUUGACCUCAUCAUCAAGAUUUUGACCACACCAUCGAAAACCUAUCAACUCUCUGUCAAACCCUUCUAUUUUCUCUCAGGCUCUCGACAAAAGCCCUAGAUUCAAACACUUCCUUUUCCUAGAUUUCGAACUCACGCGGUCAGAUCUGAAAGAUCUUAACACCCUUCGGUUCCCAUCCAUUACAUUUCACCACUCUGAAAAGCCCUUUGUUCAUUCGAAAAUUGGGAGAUCCCUGAACCCCAAACUUUAAAAUCCUUCAACAACUGGAGACCAAAUUUCCUUUCUACCCCAGGUGAUGCUAAAACUCCUGGUCUCACUAGCCUCGAUGCAGGCUGCCAAAAGGUGCUUGCAGAGAAGGUGUGCCCUGCGACGAUAUCCAGAGCAGUUCGAGCUAAGUACCUUUUUUCCCUUUUGUUACCACUUCUAGAUUUUGUUUAUGUGUAUGGCUCGUUGGGGUUCUGGGUUGAGAGUUUCAAGUCACAGGUUGACAGUUAGGGUUGAAAUUCAAUGUGUGUGAAUGUGAUGUGAAAUACUGCUAUUGUUUGUGGUCUUUGUGUCGUGAUUAGGGAGUUAGGGUUUGGAUCUGGUUUGGGUUGGGGACGAGGCUAUUCGUCUUUGACCAUGUGAACAAGACUCGGGUUGACUUAUGCAAGUCAACCCGGGUGAAUUGUGGACCUCGGGUUAGCCCGAGUGGGCUUAGGGCUGUUUAGGAAUGGACCUUGGCUGAUUUUUGAUGGACUGAGAUUAGGUUUUUUUUUUUUUGGAAAUGAUUAUGGGCUUUGGGUUUACAACACUUUAUGGGCUUAAUUUUGAAACACCUUACGAGCUUGGGUUAAAAACGUUUCAUGGGCUUGAGUCAAAAUAGCAAGGCUUUGGGUAGGCUUUUUAAAAAGGAGUCAGUGGGCUUAUUUUUAAGGUCAGUGGGCUGGCGUUUUAAAAAUGCUUUUGGGCUUGAUUUUAAAAGCAGGUUGGUGGGCUUAUUUUAAAAAUGGGUUUGGGUGUGUUUUGAAAACAGGUUUUGGUUGGUCAAGUUUGAAAAAUGUGAUGGCCUAGUUAAAUUAAAAAUGGCCUGGCCCAGUUAAUCGUUAAAUGGGCUGGGGUUUGGAACGGAACUGGGCCAAAGGUGUUUUUUGAAAAGGAAAAAAGAAGUGGACUGGGUAAAUCUUGGAAGAAUGGGCUUUUGUUUUCACAACCAAACGAAGCCUAGGAAUGCUUCAAAUAUAGAACUGGGUCGCGAGUUUGGGCUUGGUACGAGUUGAAGGAUUGGAUGGAACCCUAGUCCAAGUUCGGGUCAAGGUUCGAGUCUGUUCUCAGGUUCGAAACUUGAGAGAAGAAAGAGAAGUGUCUGCGCUCAUGCACUCAUAAUAAACACACAAACGGAACGAAUUCAAAAAUAGGGUGUAUGAAUUAUUACCUUCUUUUCUCCUUCUUCUUUUCUCUCAUUGGUGUUAGUUUGAUGACUGGUAUGGGGAUUGGUCUUGUGUUCGUUCCAGUUCGUCUGCUUAGGUACAAUUCUAAAUUCAUAGCCCUCCUCCUCUGCUCUCUGCAACCGAGCAGAGCUCCAACCUCUCUCUGAUUUCUCUCAAAUUAUGCAAAACCCUCUUAUCUUUCUUCUACUUUCUCUCUCUCACAAUUCUCGCAAAGUAUUCUUGUAUUCUUGGGGGCCCCCCCCCCCCCCCCCACUAAUUUUUGCAGGGUUCUAUUAGCUCUUUGAGGGGGUGUCUCUAUUUUUUCAGCAUUUCAUCUUAUGCUUUUUCCCCAUCUUUUGCAGUGUGCGAGCCUCCCUAUUUAUAGGGUGGUGGGGCGACCUUCUUCGUGCCAAAAUCCCUCUCAUUCUAACCGAUUUCCCCCACCAACAAACUUGGCAGGGAAUAAUUCCCUUUAACCACUCCCACGGGCUUUGAGGGAGAACAUUCCAGGUGGCAGCUUGGUAGUGGAGGGCUUGUCAUCUUCAUUUUCAUUGAAUUUUGUAUAUAUAUUUUCUAUUUUAUUGUAUUUUGUCAUUUUCUGUAUGAAUGUAUCCCCAAGUUGCCCCUCCUACAACCUUUAUUUGUGUAAACCUGUAUAUGGUGCUUUUUUAUUUUUGGGAUGAAUGUCAUGUUAAUUCCUUUGUGUA